Molecule: long non-coding RNA, 755 nt
Filed under: Homo sapiens (human)
Lineage: Eukaryota; Metazoa; Chordata; Mammalia; Primates; Hominidae
Description: HSALNT0082525
Source: RNAcentral
AAGGAAGGCCAUGAUUUCAGCUCUCUGGGAUUUGAGACAAAGAGGCCCCUUUUCUUUCAUUUUAUCUUUUCAUGUCUCUUCUUGCCAUGUACCCACAUGAUUGAGUGUGGGCUGAGGGUGAAUCCAAGAAGGGCUUUGUUUUGUGGUCAGUACAGGCUUUGGUCCACAGAGACAACAAUACUUUCAAUACUCUUUUGUUCUGCCCCAGAGGAGCUCAACACAGAAUUGCCUAGAACAAGAAACUGGUGAGAGAAGCUGCAGCCUGUUGAGACUCCACAAGACUGAAGAUAUGAAAAGAGGAAAUAUGCAUGAAUGCCCGCACGGAGAACCACCCCCACCUGCUGCUCCCGCUCUAAUGAUCACGCCCAUUAUCAACUGGGGGAUGGCUCUGUGCCUUGUCCUUGCAUUACAUGGACCAAGAACACUUCACAGGACUCAGAGAGGAACCCGAAAGGAAGAAGCUAUACGACUGGGGACACAUGUCUUAGAAGCACACUCAUUAGAUAAAGUGUCGCAUACUCUUUGAUAAGACAACCCUUACAAGAUUUUUGCCCAGCGAAAGUGGCACGUGGAACAUGGAAUGACAUUUCAUAAAGAUAAAUCCAGAGAUUAGUGCUGAAGACUACACCCCUGUGUAGUCCCACACAGGCUACCCCAGACCAGCCUGGCGGGCUCUGCACUAGGCCUCCCAUCAGGCGAGAGCCAACGCUCCUCAGCCCGGCUCCACCUCAUUCAGAAGAAAGUGUGUCUCCCGG